UGGGGAAUAUUGGACAAUGGGCGCAAGCCUGAUCCAGCAAUGCCGCGUGUGUGAAGAAGGCCUGCGGGUUGUAAAGCACUUUCAGUAGGGAAGAAAAGCCUGAGGUUAAUACCCUCAAGUCUUGACGUAACCUACAGAAGAAGCACCGGCUAACUCCGUGCCAGCAGCCGCGGUAAUACGGAGGGUGCGAGCGUUAAUCGGAAUUACUGGGCGUAAAGCGCGCGUAGGCGGUUUGGUCAGUCGGAUGUGAAAGCCCAGGGCUUAACCUUGGAACUGCAUUCGAUACUGCCUGACUAGAGUAUGGUAGAGGGAAGUGGAAUUUCCGGUGUAGCGGUGAAAUGCGUAGAUAUCGGAAGGAACACCAGUGGCGAAGGCGACUUCCUGGGCCAAUACUGACGCUGAGGUGCGAAAGCGUGGGGAGCAAACAGGAUUAGAUACCCCCGUAGUCC
This 449-nucleotide ribosomal RNA is filed under the name uncultured prokaryote. RNAcentral's name for it is "bacterial SSU rRNA". It matches the Rfam family "Bacterial small subunit ribosomal RNA", at positions 355 to 796 of the family's 1533-position model. The record is from RNAcentral.